This 415-nucleotide ribosomal RNA is filed under the name uncultured bacterium. RNAcentral describes it as "bacterial SSU rRNA". It matches the Rfam family "Bacterial small subunit ribosomal RNA", at positions 355 to 761 of the family's 1533-position model. The record is from RNAcentral.
UGGGGAAUAUUGCGCAAUGGGCGAAAGCCUGACGCAGCAACGCCGUGUGAGGGAUGAAGGCUUUCGGGUCGUAAACCUCUGUCGGAUGGGAAGAACGGGCAUUGGUCUAAUAGGCCUUUGUUUUGACGGUACCUUUAGAGGAAGCACCGGCUAACUCCGUGCCAGCAGCCGCGGUAAUACGGAGGGUGCAAGCGUUAUUCGGAAUUACUGGGCGUAAAGCGCACGUAGGCCGCUUUGUAAGUCAGGGGUGAAAUCCCACGGCUCAACCGUGGAACGGCCCUUGAAAAUGCAGAGCUAGAAGACUGGAGAGGGGGGGGGAAGGCGUGGUGGAGGAGGGAAAUCCGUAGAGAUAAGGAGGAACACCGGUGGCGAAGGGGGCCACCUGGACAGGCAUUGACGCUGAGGGGCGAAAGUG